GACGAACGCUGGCGGCGUGCUUAACACAUGCAAGUCGAACGGAAAGGCCCUGCUUUUGUGGGGUGCUCGAGUGGCGAACGGGUGAGUAACACGUGAGUAACCUGCCCUUGACUUUGGGAUAACUUCAGGAAACUGGGGCUAAUACCGGAUAGGAGCUCCUGCUGCAUGGUGGGGGUUGGAAAGUUUCGGCGGUUGGGGAUGGACUCGCGGCUUAUCAGCUUGUUGGUGGGGUAGUGGCUUACCAAGGCUUUGACGGGUAGCCGGCCUGAGAGGGUGACCGGCCACAUUGGGACUGAGAUACGGCCCAGACUCCUACGGGAGGCAGCAGUGGGGAAUAUUGCACAAUGGGCGGAAGCCUGAUGCAGCAACGCCGCGUGCGGGAUGACGGCCUUCGGGUUGUAAACCGCUUUCGCCUGUGACGAAGCGUGAGUGACGGUAAUGGGUAAAGAAGCACCGGCUAACUACGUGCCAGCAGCCGCGGUGAUACGUAGGGUGCGAGCGUUGUCCGGAUUUAUUGGGCGUAAAGGGCUCGUAGGUGGUUGAUCGCGUCGGAAGUGUAAUCUUGGGGCUUAACCCUGAGCGUGCUUUCGAUACGGGUUGACUUGAGGAAGGUAGGGGAGAAUGGAAUUCCUGGUGGAGCGGUGGAAUGCGCAGAUAUCAGGAGGAACACCAGUGGCGAAGGCGGUUCUCUGGGCCUUUCCUGACGCUGAGGAGCGAAAGCGUGGGAGCGAACAGGCUUAGAUACCCUGGUAGUCCACGCUGUAAACGGUGGGUACUAGGCGUGGGGUCCAUUCCACGGGUUCCGUGCCGUAGCUAACGCUUUAAGUACCCCGCCUGGGGAGUACGGCCGCAAGGCUAAAACUCAAAGGAAUUGACGGGGCCCCGCACAAGCGGCGGAGCAUGCGGAUUAAUUCGAUGCAACGCGUAGAACCUUACCUGGGUUUGACAUGGAUCGGGAGCGCUCAGAGAUGGGUGUGCCUCUUUUGGGGUCGGUUCACAGGUGGUGCAUGGCUGUCGUCAGCUCGUGUCGUGAGAUGUUGGGUUAAGUCCCGCAACGAGCGCAACCCUUGUUCACUGUUGCCAGCACGUUAUGGUGGGGACUCAGUGGAGACCGCCGGGGUCAACUCGGAGGAAGGUGGGGAUGACGUCAAGUCAUCAUGCCCCUUAUGUCCAGGGCUUCACGCAUGCUACAAUGGCUGGUACAGAGAGUGGCGAGCCUGUGAGGGUGAGCGAAUCUCGGAAAGCCGGUCUCAGUUCGGAUUGGGGUCUGCAACUCGACCUCAUGAAGUCGGAGUCGCUAGUAAUCGCAGAUCAGCAACGCUGCGGUGAAUACGUUCCCGGG
RNAcentral lists this ribosomal RNA (1342 nucleotides) under uncultured bacterium. RNAcentral's name for it is "16S ribosomal RNA". It matches the Rfam family "Bacterial small subunit ribosomal RNA", at positions 28 to 1378 of the family's 1533-position model. The record is from RNAcentral.